Long non-coding RNA from Mus musculus (house mouse), 18620 nucleotides. RefSeq annotates it as predicted gene, 46551. Lineage: Eukaryota; Metazoa; Chordata; Mammalia; Rodentia; Muridae. The record is from RefSeq and is a predicted model, not a curated record. The transcript has 2 exons.
AAACAUUCUUUAGUACAUUUCAACAUUGCAGAGAAUGUGGCCAUAAGAUCCAAUUUUAUUUAAUUGGAUGUAUGAAACUGUGCUGGGCAACACUGACCUGUGUAGGCAUGGAUACGGUAAUACAAACAUAUCAAAAGAAGAAAACACAGGGUUAGAAGUAGACUGGUAAAAAUAUAAUCAUUUUAUACAUUCAGAGAUUAUUGCUUUCCUUUGAAAAUUCUACUCACUAAACUUGCUUGUCAGAAAACCAACUGGCUUUUGUUCUGGGACUGACAAACCAGGUAGCAAUGUCCAGAUGGAUGCAAAACCCUGGAAUUUGUUAGAGAGGCUUAAGUAAGUCCCUUCUGGCUUCACUUCUACUGUCUUCCAUUCCUAGUGGCUAUGAGUCAGCUUGAUGUACAUCAUUUGUAUGGCUCCCCAGCCUCUAUUACAGGUUGUAAGACACUUGUGAACUCAUUUCUGUCUCUAAUGUAAGCUCUAGACUAUCACCAUUUAAGGACGUUUUAACAAGAAGAAAGUAAGGGCUCAUCUAGUAAUACAUUUUCUUUUCUUCUAGUGUCAGAAUGGAGAGACCAGAUAUAUUUGAGGAUAUUUAUUUGCUUUCGUUCUGCAUAGUUCUCAUAGCAUUUCUACAUACCACAUUUCCUUUUCUCUCUAUGGCUUCCCUUUCCCCUUGGGUAUAUGUACUCAUUUCUUAUAUUCCAUCCUUCCUGGUUAAGAGCUCACCUUUACAUCUGACCUUUUUCACCUCUUCUUCUUUCUCCCUUUAUCAAUACUCUGGUCAUUGAUAUCAUACAAUCUCACUGCUAUAAGCUCAGAUCAACUAGUUUUCUGCAGAUCACCUUUGUUUGUUGUCCUAUUUCAGCUAAAAGAAAACAACAGCAGCAGCAACAACAACAAAAACAAUGAAAAAGCAUCUUAUACAUUAGUUGCUAAUUUUACUCUCACCUCAGUUUCUAACUACUACUCACAACGGACUUUAUAAACUAGCACAGUUCAAUAAACAAAUAGAGAAGAGAAAAGACAUUUUUUAUGGUAUUUGGAAAAUAUUGAAAUCCAGGAAGUGUUUACAAUUAUCAAGUUAAAAAUGACAGUAAAAUCAGGGAAUUAGGAUCUAGGAUUACCUGGGCUCAUUGAUAUUUCAUAGUGAACAAUCUAUACUCUGAUAAAAAGGGGUAAAUAGGUAUAGAGAAAGAGUGGACAAUAUAAUCUGAAUGCUGUGUCUUUAUUCUCAUGCAAUAGAAUUUCAUAGCCUUUUGCAGGCAGGAUUCUUCCGCCAUUCUCAACCAUGAGGCAAGAGCUUUUGUUUUGCUUUAUUUUAUUUUAUUUUAUUUUAUUUUUGCCUUCAAAUAUAUUGAUCCAAAGCUCUAAACUUUUGUUUACAAGGAAAAGAAACAUCAAUACAAAAAUGGUGAGUUUCAAGCACAUGGUUGACACAUCUGAAAUUCAAUGUAGAACUCAACCUCAGCUACUUAUGUGUGAGAUGGGGUUAACUGGACCAGCCAGAGUGUCGAAGAGAUAGGAGGGUAUUUAAUACAAAUUCCUCUUAAAAACACUAUCAAUGUGGCAUGCCCCAAUAUGUCAACUUCUUUCCAAAUAACCUUUUGGAAAGAAAAACUAGUUUCUGAACUAAUGUGUGAUAAAAAUAGCACUAUGUGUUAACUUAUUUUUUUUAUGUUUGGUUAACACCCUAGCCAGAGUCAGGCAUCCAUAAUUCCUAUUUAUAGAUUUGAAUAGGAGUUUUAUCUUAUAAGGGCUUAGUAAUCUUGCUGAGGUGGGGGAUUGAGUUAAAUAUAUACUAUAUGCAUAUUAUAUGUGCAGGAUAUUUGUCUGAUUUUUAGAUUGCUUUUUGGCUUGAACAUUGAAAGCAUUUUGCAAAAUAGGAAUCUAGUUAGAGUGGAAAUUCUGGUUCUGAUCCUAAUCAUAUAUUUCGUUCAGUUUCUCAGACGUUUAGAUUUAUAAACUAUGAUUUACUUAUUGGUAAAAGCCUAAGAGACAUUGGAUCCAUCUCCAAAAUGCUUAGUGCUUUAUUGUCUAAUUUACUGUAUGAAAGUUCUUAUUUGGACAGUAAACACAUUUAGUUUAUAUGUUAAUUUAUAUCAUAGAUCAUCAUUUUUGAAAAAUGUCUGUGUCUAACUUCAUCCAAUGGCAUUUGCCAGCUUCUCUUCCCAGCACUUUGCAUUGAUGGGUGUCAUAUUCAUCAAACAGUAAGAUUCUAGAUCCACCCUUUUUCUUAUGGGAUAUAGACAUGUUGAGUCAAGUAAAGGGAUGCCUAAUGGGUGGGAGGGAAGGUCAGAGAGAGAGAGGAGAGAACACACAUCCAAAUUAAUAUGAUCAGGUUACAUUUACAAGUUUUAAUCAUUUUCAAGGGACGUGCAAAUUCACAGGUACAAAAAUACUCACAUUUAAAAAUAAAAGCCGAGGGAAAAAAGUUCCUUUAAAAUAUAACUUCUCUCAGUGGAAGUAAUUCUCUAGAAACAUAAGGUGCUGAGACAGCAAAUGUUUCCUCCUCAAACCCCUUUCUUUCUUUCUUCUUCUUUUUUCUUUCCCUUUUCUUAGUAUUUGUAGAUUUUCUUACAGAGAGGUUGGCUUAUGAGACAAUGAUUAGUGCAAACUUUGGAAUUUUUGUUCUCAUUAUGUCUUAGUUUGGGUUUUCUUGCUGUGAAGGAACAUCAAGACCACAGCAACACUUAGAAAGGAAGAUAUUGAGAGUAGCUUAACAGGGUUAGUCCAUUGUCAUCAUGGUGGGAAGCAAGACAGCCUAUAUGCCACCAGGGCUCAAGAGAUGAAGCCUAGAGGUCUACAUCUUGAUCAGCAAGCAGAAAGGAGAAACUCUGUGGUGCUGGCUAGCCUUGAGCAUAUCUGAGACCUCAAAGUCUGCUUUCACAGUGAUGCAGUUCCUCCAACAAGGCCACACCCACUCCAAGGAGGUCUCACCUUGUAAUAGUGCCACGCCCGAUGAGCCAAGCAUUCAAAUAAAUGAGUCUCUGGGGGACAUACAUACAUGAUGAUUUUUUUUAAUGGAAGGUUUCUUCAUUUUGAUUUUUUGUCAUUAUGAAAAUUGAUUGAAUUUUAAGCAAUACAAUCUUUAAAAGUCUUUUUAAAUCAGCUUCAUGGGGAUAGCCUAGUUGGUCAUCAAUGGGAGGAGAGGCCUUUGGUCCUGUGAAGGUUCUAUGCCCCAGUAUAGGGGAAAUGUCUGGGCCAGGAGGUGGGAGUUGGUGGAUUGUGGAGCAGGGGGAGGGGGAGAGGAUAGGGGAUUUUUGGAAGGGAAACUAGGAAAGGGGAUAACAUUGGAAAUGUAAAUAAAGAAAAUAUCUAAUAAAAAAAAGAAAUAUUUCAAUCCAAAAAAAAAGAAAGAAAGAAAGAAAGAAGGAAAGAAAGAAAGAAAGAAAGAAGGAAAGAAGGAAUGAAAGAAAGAAAGAAGGAAAGAAAGAAAGAAAGAAAGAAAGAAGGAAUGAAAGAAAGAAAGAAGGAAAGAAAGAAAGAAAGAAAGAAAGAAAGAAAGAAAGAAAGAAAGAAAGAAAGAAUCAGCUUCAUGCAGCACAGUGCUUGAUGUCUUCACUGUUAUAUGUUCAUUGUGCUAUCCAAGUCUUAGUUUUACUGCACCAUUCCAAAUGGACUAAGCAAGAUCAUUCCAGUUUGGGGUUAGUCUAAUUUCAAUUUGAGUCUCUUAUUCAUCCCACUAACAUUUCAGGAUAGUUUUCUAUGUUUCAAAGUAAAGAAACAGUAGUUGCAAAAUCAUAACAGAGUGUAAAACAUCUGUCACUGGCUGAGUAGAUCUGAAGUACAAUCCUCCUUUAAGACACAGUUUUAUUUCUUCUAAGAAAACAAGGGAGGGGUUUAGAGAAUAUGACCCAUUUUAUGUAAGUACAUAGAAGCAAUAUAAUUUAAAUACUCAUGUUUCUGAUCUAACAAUUAGCCACUUUCCUCUAUCAAUGGUUUUCCUGGAAAUUAUAGAGCUGUUUCUUCCCUGUACUCUUAGUGUAUGAAAACGUUCCAUCCCCUCCCCAUUUCCCAGGUCAAGUAUACAUAGACAUCUCCUUCCCCAAUCCACAAAUCAAGUCUAUACAGACAUCCCCCACCUCAUUCAAUAGGUCAAAGGUUAACUAUUUGUUCAUAUUAUUCAGCCUCAGAGAAAGUUCUCAUAGUCAUGAGUUAGUAUUUUUCCCUUGUGGUAGACAUAUGAUAUAAUUGACAAAGUGAGUGAUUAAUUUUUUUUCUAAUUGCCACAAUUUUUGUCUCCUCUGUCAUUGGAAUCAUAGGACACAUUGUUUCCCACUGUUUCACAUGUACACACAGAAAGGAACCAGACAGCAUCCCUUUCAUCUAAGACAGAGAGGGAAGAGAAGAAGAAUACAGCACCUAGUGAGAGCUUUACUUCUCACUUACAUUCCUUUCGUAGGACUUCUGCAAAGUUAAAGAACAUUAAAAUAUAUCACUAAUAUUUCUACUCAAUGCUGUUUAUAUGGAAUCUGAAUUAACUAAAGCACUUUCGGGCAGUAUGACAACAUCCCAGCUAUUUGUCAAUUAUAAAUGUUUGGGCUGCUGAACAAUAUGGUCAGAAGUAGAUUGGACUUGGUAGGUUCAUUAAUGUGCAUGCUCUAGCAAAAGCUGGUAAAGCCUUGGUACUAUACUUCUGCUGAUCCACGCUCUCUUUAAGAACAUAAGGGAAUGUGAAUUCAUGGAUCUUAAUAUUUGGCAGUGAGGAGUGUUGAUGAAAACAUAUCCGGCAAUAUGCAGGAGGACUGUUAGAUAACAGACUCUGCACACAAUAUAAUUAGACACGCUGAACUUUCUUUUGCAUGCACAACAGCCUGUGCUAAAGCUCUCUGUAAAUCACGCACACGAGUGGUACUAUACUACACUUCAUAGAACAUCUUCGGGCUGAAGAAGACAAAUAUGAGGGGUUCUGAUUAAAUAUUUGCUCAGAAAACACCCUUUGAUAAUAUACUGCCAAUUCCCUACCUUGGGUAAAUAGCAUCCUCCUCUCCCAAGGUAAGUAAGUAGGUCUUUGCUAUAUUAGAUUUUAUUUACAAAAAGGAACUCUGGUCACAAAACACACAGCGGUAUGUGAAGAGUUUGGCCCAGAUUACUGCAAAGCAUUGUCAGUAUGACCUUUGGCAAGGACCCAGUAGAAAAGCAAUUUUCCCAAAGGAAAACCAGCAUCUUUUUUUCCUUAAUCCUGUUAGCAGGAUGUGACGCUGAUGCAAAGUAGCAUGCUUCCAGGAUCUAUACACAGGUUGCAUCAUUUUGCAUGCUCUUCUGAAAGAUGAAUGUCAGGUGUUUCUGUGCACACAGGAGUCACCAAAAUGUUUCUACACAAAUGCUAAAUACCUUACCUAGUGACCUUGUGAUGUCUCAACCCUUUUGGGACAUAUCAUCUAUUUCUUGAGGUCAGCUAACAGAAACUAAAAGCCUUAGGACUAUGCGUUCUGAGUGUUCCUCUGAAGGAUGACUAGAGGGACUGUGUUAUCAAUCCUACCUUCAAUAUUCAUUGUAUUCUAGAUGCCAGUUCCAGAAACAGCAGCCUAAUGUUGUUUUAUAGCUGAGUCCAAACAUAAAGACCGCAGGCUUUCCCAAGCAUACAGGGGACAUGUUCAGUAGUUUCAAGGACAAUAUUUUAAGGAGACAAAUGCUCUGGGUAAUUGUGCUGAAAACUGCUUUCUAGCCCAUUUCAUGGCUGCUCUACCUAGCUUAGUUUCUCUCUCCUUUCAGUUCAUAUAUCUGCCAUUGCCUUCUCUUAUCCAUCAUUACUUUUCUCCCUUAUAUAUUCUCUGGAAUCAUUUGUAAGGUCAUAUGACUGAUCAGUAGUCUUAGUAGACUGGUAUCGGGCUAUGGGGAUAUAGAAUAGCAGCACCAAACUUGUAAUCACAUUAAUGGAAAGCUUAAGCUGAUUAAAUCUCAACUGGACCUGUAUAGCUCUUCAUAGCAAAAUUUCUUGUACCAUCUUAGUUGUCCUUUUAAACAGAGCUCAAGUUUAAUAAAUGAUUUAUAAAUGGAAUAAAUAAACAUUCAAUAGAAAAGCACAGACCAGAAAUGGUAUCAUUUUAAAAAUAAUGUCUCAGAGACAUCAUGAGGCAACCUGUAAUUUUUUUCUUCAGUAUGUUAAAAUAUAAUUUGAAUAGCGGAUAUCUUUGGCAAUAAUGUUGAGACUCAAAAAUUACUUAUACUUAGUCUUGAGAGUUAUUCUUGCUGUCUUUUUAAGGAAUCCUACUAAUAUAAUGAAUCAUAGAAAGUAGUUUUAUUUCUAGUUAAAGGUCCUUCCCACAUUUACUAUAAAACAUUCCAUGAAGUUCUAUAUACUUAUUUAUUUGGGUAUAGGUGAGAUUUGUAUAUAUACUUGCUUUCCCCCUUAUUUCAACAUCUCUUUCUUUAAAUUCUUCCAUUCUCUACUUAAAAUCCAAUCUUGUGAUGUUACUAGUCAGCCUCUCAGACUCAUUGGUAUGCAAUGGUAGUGUCCAUUUAAACAGCUCCACCCUUCUUACGCUCAAACUUCACAGGUUGAUAAUCCGUUCUUGACUGCAACGAUUAGUCUCAGAACUAAGCAAAGCAGUGCAUGCUGUGUGUAUUUAGAGACAGGAAACUCAAUCAGAACCGUUGAAGUAAAUGUGAAGUAUGUUUUGAAAACUUCCCAGACUUCUGAGAAAGAGAUAUUUUUCUUCCCUCAAAGGGAUUAAAAUACUAGGAUAUUCAUGGCCUGAUGCUACAGUAGUCAUCUCACAAUCUUAGGUGAUAUAUUGGGAAUAUAUGUAUAUGAAGAAUAUCCUUGCAAAAAGAGUCAGUAAAAAGCAAUAAACAUGAUAAAAGGCAUCACCUUCCCACAGAACAUAGCUUUUCCACUGUAUUCUUCACUAAUAUGAACCAAUAAACUUCCAGAUUUUCCAAUAUAAAAAACAACAACAACAACAACAACAAAGAUUGUAACUGGCUCCAAAUCAAUAUUCCUUGAGGUCUUUGAAGGUAAGUGUUUUAACUAGGUAGCUCAGGCUUGUUCUCUCAGGCACUCACAGCUGUUGUGAGCCUCCACCGUCACUGCUUGGUGAGAAGGAGUGGGAUGCAUAGAAUGUGAUGUAGCAGCUUGUUUUUACCUCCAUGCUGAACUUAUGAUGGACUCCAUCUUUCCUUUAAGAAGGAAGGACUCUCAGGACCUCAACACAAAUAAAGGACGUGAUCUUCCAGCACAUAAUAUGUGCCUCAUCAACUUCUUAUGAAUGAGAAGCCCUCAAAGAUUUUUCAGGAGGUGAGAAAAUGGCACUUAGCUUAUACUUGUUUCUCUACAAAUGUUCCCCCUUUUGUUUUCUUAAACCUACUCUGGUCAUUUAACCCUUUUUGUUUCUGCCUAACUGCUUUAUUGUAUCCUGUCUAUUAUCUAUUGCUUUGAAAAGAGCCCCUCAUGUAGGAAUGGGUUUAAUUUCAUCUUCUGCUUCCUAGCUUGCUUAGCCUUCUUUCUUAUAAAACCCAGACCUACCUGCCUAGAGGUGGUACUACCCACAGAGGUAGUGGGCGGGACCCUUCCAUAUCAAUCAACUAGUUUGCAGUCCAAUAUGAACAAUUAUUCUCAACUGAGUUUGCUUCUCCCCAGAUGGCCCAAGCUUGUAUUAUAUGGAGCUAAUCAGAACAUACUAAAACAAAUUCAGCAAACUAUUGAUGUUUUAGUCGGAUUUUAUGAAUGGCUUCAUGGUUGGUGUUCACCUUAGGAUGUGUAUGUUCUGACAUCCACCCUUCAAAUUAGCCCAGGAUAUUCACCUAUGCAAACUUAAACUGUACUUAUCCAUCUCUUUGUCCAUAGCAUAAGCUCCACCCCAUUUUCGAUGUUAUAAAAGCAAUGUAAGGAAAUGUCUGACAAGAUCGGAUGAGGGCUUGGCAGUAAAGAUAGUUCCAUCACUAAACCAGAGCUGGUGAUGAAGUGGCUAAAUGAGGUCCAGAUAUUUUCAUAGUUUCAUAACAAAAUAUUUUCAUAUUUUCUAAAUCUCUCAGAAAGAUUUAGAAGGGAGAUCUGAACAUCUUUGUCUGGUCAGCUACAAGUAAUGAGGAAGAUGAAUUCAAAUGCUGGCACAAUCAUACAACCUAUUAGACCAGUGGUUCUCAGGCUGUGGGUUGUGAGCCUUUGGCAAACCUUUCUCCAAAAAUAUUUACAUUACAAUUCAGAACAAGAGCAAAAUCGCAGUUAUUAAUUAGUAAUGAAAGCAAUGUCAUGGUUGUGGGUCACCACAACAUGAAAAACUGUAUUAAAAAGGUCACAGCAUUACGAAGGUUGAGAAUCACUGUAUUGGGCUGCAUAUUUGGCGCCAACUCUGAGAUGGCUUCCUUUUUCAAAAUCAGGUAACUAUGCCUACCUAUUAAUUAAAUAUAUGUUUUGAAAAAACAUAACUAAAAUUAUUUUCGGGGUACAUUAUAUAUGUUGAUUAGAAUAGUCAAAAAUUAUUUUUAUGGAAUUUAGAUUUUACUUUAAUAACAUAGUUAAAUGAAUUCAAAUCCUGUUUCUAGCAAAUGAUAAAGUCUAACACAUGGUAUCCAAGGUGAGCUCUCUGUCCAAUUAGGGCAUUCCUAUCUUUUUACUCUCUUAUAAAUUUUUAUGAUUCUUAGCGAUUUUUGAAAAUUAUAAGUAGGGAUGAUAAAGCUUUGAAAUGAGCCAGAACAUAGUCCAAACAAGCCAAAACACCAUUAGAGUAAAAUACUGGGAGCUAAUUUGAAUAGUUUUGUUUCAAGGUAAAUAAAAAAGGAGUUAGUUAUUUUUGUUUGUUUGUUUGUUUUUUCUUUUUCCAGCUGUAAGUGUCUUGGUCUUUCUUGACUGUCCUAUCUGUAUCUGUAAGACACUCUCACAUAACAUGCUCUGGACUUCUGAUUCUUACAGUCACUCUGCUCAUCUUCUUUUGCCAAUUAUUUUCUCAGAGCCUGAGGUGUAAGAGUUGAAGUGUAUGUGUAGAAACUGGCUUUGGGCAACACACAAUUACUCAUUCUCUCUAUCACAGCAUCACUGUAAUACUCUGUAACUGAUAUGAAAGGAAGCUUCUAGGAUGAGUAGUAAAAGUUACAUUUCACUGUGGGUAUAAGGAUAAGUAUUUAGGCUACAGAAAAUAUAUUGCUUUAGAAAACUAGCAAGAUUAAGUUCUCCUCUCGAUCUAUGACCUCUCAGGGAAGGGUGGUUAGCAAGGUUUAUAGUAUCAGGCAUGAAUUGCCACUUAUGGAGCAGGACGUAGGACCAAUUAGGAAGUUAUUGGUUACCUCCACGGUAAAAGUGCCACUACUGGACCAUUGGGGGCCAUCUUUCUGUUCUGGUCAUUCUCAUGGUUCUCUCGUGAUCUAUAUCAUUAUGUAGGACUAUUGAUUGCUUUUCUCCACUGGCAGCUUGGACAAUAACUUCUAGAACCUAGAGGCCUAGUUCUCAGUAAGGAGACUUCCAGAUAAGUAUUAUCACCCCAGGGGACAAUAACACAAAGCAAGAUGGAAGAAAAAGGAGAGAAAAAUCACUAAGGAUAUCUUUAGGAAAAAAAAAAAAACACCUUAGACAAACAUAUUAUUUCGUAAGCUUACUCAAAAAUACAGGCAUGUGUUGUGGUAAAUCUCCUCCUGAAUAUGCCCCAACAAUGAAAACACAACAGUUAAUAUGAUUACAAGCUGUGUGCCUAGAUUGGGCAGAUCUACUGCUACACUACCAUCUUCCACAGUUUAUGAGACCCCUUAGAACUUGUGAUUUCUCCAGGCCAUGUGCUCCUGCUCUGCUUUUCUUCAUCUCCCUCUUCCAUUUUCUCCUCCUUCUCUCUCCCUACCUUCUGAUCCACCUUCCCUUUUAUCUGCCCAAUCAUCAGCUCUCCUUAUUUUACAAAUUAAGGUGGGAAGCAGGUUUACAGGAAAUCACCUGAGUGCUGACUCAGUGUUCGCAACCACUCACAGGAGAAUGGAAUUAACAUCAAAUAUAAUUAGCCCCAGGGUUAUCUACAACAGGCAUGUGUAUACAUGAGAAGUUAGAUAGAUAUGCACUGUUAAAAUAGAUUUACAAUACAUGGCUAACAGUGUUCACUCCAACAGCCAUAGAUUAUUUAACAAAAUCGAAAUUGCCAGACAUGAAAAAAAUCACCCUUUGAGUUGUUGAUCACAUGAGUCCAAGACUACCCAAAUAAUAUAAACUAUUUCCAUUGCUUUUGGUUGCCUCCCAAAACUUGAAGGUAAAAUUUUCUUGAUUGAACUCUUUCAAGAUAGUCUUGGUUUUUUUUUUUUUUAGUAGACUAUUUUUGAAAACUCAUCAGGAUAAUAUAUUUCAGAAUAUAUCCCACCCUCAUUCAGUGUUGUCAUCUCCCUUGCCUUGGUAUGCGUUUCUGUAAUUCACUAUAAUCUAUAACUAGCUCUUCCUGUCCAAAGGUCAGAUUCAUUGUUUGAUAAAGGAAAAUCAGGCUAUAAUAACCCAUACCUACCAGCUAUGAAUAGUAUCCAGUGACUAUGCUAUAUGUUUUGUGUGGAAUUGCAGUUCUUACCAUUAUCCUUAUAUGGUCUUGUCUCUGACUGACUCUCAUACAUCAGAUUAUGUCAAUCCACUCCUUCCCCAUCAGCUCCCAGAUGUAACACCCUGAUCAUUUUAUGGUCUCUCUCUCUCUCUCUCUCUCUCUCUCUCUCUCUCUCUCUCUCUCUCUCUCACUCUCUCUCUCUCUCCCUGUCAGCUUUGGCAUAGCCCUUUGCUUAAAAGUUUGCCAACCACCUUCUUUAUAUUUGCAUUGCUUGGUCUUUCUUAGUUCAAACUACAUCAGACACUUGUUUAUCAAUAAUCACUCUGAUACUGCCCUAUUUUAAUUCUUUUAUCACUAGUAAGCACAGGACAGGUUCAUCUUCCUCAUCUUGUUCCUAAGGUGAUUGAACAGGAAACCCCAUAGGAGGCACUCAACAGACAUUUUUCUGAGUUAAUGUAUAAACUGUAUAAAAUUUAUAAUUUUUUGGACACACUCAUUAACAUUUAUUGCUAAAAAUCCACUGACUUCUCAAUAACUGUUUAAGAGUGCUGCUGAUAUACUGUUAAUUGUUAUGAGGCACUAUAGCCAUAUGGAGAACAUUUAGCAUAUACAUUACCACUGUGAAUUUUCCAUUUGGUCUAUAUAACAACUUUUAGGGGGUGCCAUUUUUAUGUUAAUAACUGUUUAUAGCUUAAGGAACUAAAACUCAGAGAAACUAAAUUCAUUACUGAACAACUCAUCUUUUAGCUGAGGGGAAGAUUCCAGUCUGAUGGAUGCUACAAUCGAUGUCCUUAAUCUGACAGGCUUCCCCAUCUGCUUAACUUCUGAUAUCAGCUGUCCAUGGACAUGUGACUAAAGGUAAAAUGCAUUAACACUGAUAUCCUUAAGAAAGCAGUCACUGAGUACUAUAUAUAAGGCAUUAUCUGUGCUAAUUAUUCAAAUCCAUGUGAAGAUGGUGAUCUUCUGUUGUUCAGAUGAGAUCUUGGCUCAGAGAAGUCAGGUGGAAUUUGAACCUAACUUGGUCUGACUUGGAGUUGAACUGUUUAAUGACUGUGGAAUGGUAUUUCCCUGACCCAGAGAAUGAUGGGAUCACAUGCCAAGUCACAGAUUACAGAAACCAGCAGCCUGGGUCUCUGCUACAAGCUGGGUGCAGUCCUCCUGAAUGGCCACUACAUUCAUCUUGGUCAAAUGACAGAUGUAUUGUGUCUUUAACUAUGGAAACCAGUAAUCACUGUGCUGGCUGACCACCAACUCUCUGUCAAGAGCGGAAAAACAACCAGAAGCCCAGUCUUUCAUUAUUACAUUAGCAGUACCUCCUUCAUUUAUUUUAUAAGCAAUAAACUGUGCCUGUCUGGUGUUUCAUUUAGGAAGUUUCAAAUGAGAUUGAAGAUAAUGCAUCCUAUAAUUUCUCAUCCUUCCCUGGUCCACAGGCUCAGGCAGACUGAUCUCAGGGUGAAAUUUGGACUCCCUUGAUUGAUGAGACUAAUAAAGUGCCUUUAUUGUGAUAUAAAUAGCCUUAAAAAUGUCCUACAGAGUCAAUAUUGGUGUUUGAUGGCCUUACACAAGCAAGGUCCUUAUCUUCAGGAGCACUAAAGCUUAAUGAGUUACGGUUUUUGAGAAAGUUUGGCAUUGAAUUUGGGUGCUGAUUUGUGGGGUUACAUGGUGGCAAGAAUCCCACUAAUGACAUGGAGGGAGAACAAUUUCAAAACUACCCAUUUCUUUCAUACUCCUAAUAGAUCAAUAUAUUUUCUACCUCUAGACAUGAAGCUUUGGUAAGAGAAUGAGGCAUGUGAAGAACAAUUUACAGUCUCUGGUUCAGCCAGACCUUAGAGUGUUUCCUUCCCUUCUCUUUGGCUGUAGCAGAAUAGUAUAAAGUCUUCUUAGAAGGUAAGAGUGUACUUUCAAGUACAAUAACAAAGUGUUAGAACGCUAAUACUGCAAAGACCCUGGGUUUGGCUGCCAUUGUUGAACUAAACUUACCACUUUUGAGUAUUGAAAAUGUCAUAAAUCAAAGGUUAUGGCUCUUUCAAAGCACAAUUUCUUUAGAUCAUUGGUUCUGUUAACUCUAUGCCCCAUGCAGUUCCAAAGGGUGCUUAAAUAUUGUCCUUCGCAUUUAUUUCCCUUUCUUGACAACAUUCAACAAUUGUAUGUGGGUAAUCUCUGCUUGUUCACCUACAUGCUUUUGACAGUGGAUGUUCUCCAUAUGUCUCUUUCUUCAUAGAAAACGGAUCAGAAGAUUCCAUUUGAAAUAUGAUUACGGUUUUGUGAUCAAGACUCAGACUUAGUAGCUCAUUAGUUUCUUGUGGACAUUUAUAACAAAUGACCACAGACUCGGUCAUCUAAUCAACAGAAUUUUCUCCAGGGAUUUUGAAGACAGAAAUUGAAGGUUAAAGUUAUUGACGAGGCUCUGAAGGUCUUAAGGAAGAACCUUUCCUCCCUGGCUCCUCUUGAUUCUAGUGGUAGCUGAUAAUCAUUCAGUUUCUGAUAACUGUGCUCCUCCAAACUCACUCUCUCUCUCUCUCUCUCUCUCUCUCUCUCUCUCUCUCUCUCUCUCUCUCUCCAGGUAGUUUUUUUUUCUAUUUUUGGGAGGAGUGGGGAAUUGUUAUCAAUAUAUUUAUUUAUAGAUUCAAUGUAAUCAACUCAAAUAUACUGAGGAUAUUCUUUUGUUAGAAAGCAGUAUGGUGAUAGAUACUGAUACGAGAAUUAUCAAAAAAUCUAAGUCUUUAAUUAGUUAGUUAUAAAAGCUACAUAUAUAUUAGGACUUUUCAUCUCCAAGAAGUUACAUUUGAUACAAGAAGCCUCUGAGAAAUAGUCAAAAUCAUUUUUUAUGCUGAGAAAAAAAAUACAGCGCAAGGUUUUAAAUGAUCUUUACCUUUAUGGCAGCCUCAGUCAAUCAAUUUUAUUGUAAAAUUAUUGAUUGAUCUUACUGAAGUGUGAAUUAGAAACCUUUAAUAAGCAUAAAAUAAAUUAUAUCAUACAGGGGAAAACCUCAUACUUCAUGUUAAAGAUGAUCAAGCUUGCAUUAUCCUAGAUGAGAAUGCCCUUAUAAAAUGACAGUGGAAACCCACAAAAGCAGGGGUCUACAUUUUUUGCCUGACUAUAAACAAAUUCUCCCAGCCCUUUUCAAGCAAGGAUCUUAAAGGAACCAAGAUAAAACUAGGAAAAUAUUCUCAAAGCAAGAACAUUGGAAAACAGAGUCUGACCAUUCUAAUAAAGGAGUUGGCUGCAGAGAGCAGUUCCUUGCACAGGAAUUACCCAGGGAUCUUGUUAAAAAGCAGAUUCACUGCAGUAGUUCAGUAGUAGGUCCUGAGAUGCCAUAACUUUAACAAGCCUUCAAGUGAUGACAAGGACCACACUUUGAGUAGCAAAAGUGUAGAGGAUCAGCAGGGCUGAAAAAUAAUUAUUAAGUCAGGCAGGUUAAAGAUUUCAUGGCUUUCAUUACUCAGCACUCGCCGAUCUCCUCCUGUACCAUCCAUGAAUGUAAAUACAAACACAGGCAUCCUCCUGGUUGCUCUUAGUCACAUGUGGAUUGGUUGUUGCUAUAGCAUUAAGCAUCAAUCUUCCAUUUCAAACAAUAUUAGGGAAAUCAUAAUGCAUUGCUUUAUAAAUAGGAAAAAGUCAAUAUUUAUAAGUAGAAAAAAGUCAGUCGGCCUUUACUAUUUUCUCUAAAUGGAUGGUGCAGGGACCUCUCAGCAGGCAGAGUACCAUUCACCUCCAGGCGUGUUCUCUCAGCGAUGUCAUUGCUGUUCAGCUCUUGCUGGGAUUUUAGAGCCUACAAUCAAGAGUAUCAUCCCAAUUCUUAAUAGAUGGAGUGGUGAGCCAAGUUUGCUCAUGAAAGGAAAGCAAAGCACUCUGAGGAAACAUAUUUGAUUUAUAAGAAAUCCAUAGGCUUGUAUCAUUUAAUUUAUUUAAUUUCAUGCAUUGCCACAGUAAUUUUCUGGAUUAAUGAUAAGUUUAAAUGCUGAAGUUUUACUUAUUUCGAUUUCCCCUUGUUCCUCCUCCCUCUCUUCCUUUUGAACCUCUAUAUAGUCUUUCAUUUAGGCUUGAGUUAAAAUGGAGGAAUUCUGAGGCAGAUGGUAGCCAGGGUGAUUUAUUCAUGUUAUUGCUGAGUCCUUUUCUACGAGUAUGCUGGAGACUGAACUGAUUCCUAUGACAGUAAUCCAGAUGUAUCAGAACUAGAAAAGCAUAUUAAACAUCAUAUACAACAUGUAUAUACUAUACAUAUUAUUAGGAGACUAUUUAAAGUGCUGGGUAGCAAUGAGUCUGUUAUACUCCACUGAACUUGGAUGAUGGCAAUGGCUUCCUUAUGUGUUCCAGACUUGAGGGGGUAAAGGUUUUCUCAUUUUUAUUUUGUUUGAUUUUCUUUUUAGUUUAAAUUACUUUUAGCUAGUAAAUUUUCACAAAGGGCUGCAAUUAUGUACUAUAACAGGCAAAAUCCCUAAUAUUAAUUAAUGGUUUUGAACAGAUGACUGUUCACCUUCAAACUUACAUGAUCAGAAACAUAUAAAACCACAAAAUAUCCAAGCUGGUAUCAGACAUAAAUAUUUACCAAUUUCUUAGAAGACCGAGGGUUCUGAAGCCAACACAGGUGCAAUGUUCAUUUCAGAAAACCAACAACAGUGACUGUAAGUAUCAUAGCCAAGUCUUCUGGCAUAAAGACCAAGUUCGGUCUCCAUACUCUCAAGUGUAUCUCUUUACCCUCGAAGGAGAUAGGAUGCUGAAAUGUUUGAAUUUGCUAUAUUGUCAAUGAUCAAAUCAGCUAUCUGGUUGCCAAACAGAUGCUGCAGGAUUUAAAUAUACAACUGUGUUGCUGAAGUGAUUCAUUACCACUACUGCACAGGCCUCUGUGCUCUUCGCAAAAGAUAUUCAAAUCAAUAAAUUGCAAUGCAUAUGGUACCUAUAUUUAGACCUAUAAUGCUUCUCAUGGUUCCUAUCUUGGAGAAUGGAAAAAGAUAGAGGAAGAGACAAAAAAAGUGCUUUCUGUCCCUUAGUUCGGCCUUAUCUGACUCAUUAGACUAUGGAUAGGGUCACAUCAUUUCUACAGAGGGUUUCUAGGGGAUACAACAUCUUGCCUGUGGGGUUUUUUUUUCAAAGACUCUUUUUUCUUUCACAGUGGAAAAGGGCAUUGUAGCAUCAGAGAGAUGCUUUAAUCAGUCUAAAACAUUACCAAGUUCUUGCUGGAUACAAAUGCAUGUGAAAGAAUACUGGAGGAAGGCAGACAAUGGAUCUGGGAACAUCAGGUUGGAAUAUCUCAGAAUGAGAAUUGAUCUUAAGUCACAGAAUCUUAAGAUCUCAUGGGAUGGCAGAAAGGGCUUGUGUGUUUCUCCUUCUUAACUAUUCGUGUUAAAUAAACAUGUGCUGUUUAAUCUCUUAGAUUAAACACCUGACAUGGACUUCAAUCAACAUGAGAAAAAGCCAAGUGCUAUAACUCUAACCCACCACCAGAUUCCAGGUGGAGGAAAGAAGAGUCCCGAUGCCACUGAAUGACUGCAGCAGCUCAACCAUUGCACUUGUGAGUCCUCCUACAAUCACGGAGGUCAGCCCAGGUUAUAUGAGAUGCUCAAGACUUGCAUCAUUGCACUUCUGUCUGGUUCUCCUGGACACAGUGUCUGAGACACUAGAUUCUACUGUAAGAGAUCUGGAGUUGUAAUAGCCUUUCUGAGUUGUACCGACUGUAGGUAAGGGGUGCUUUUAAUGGCUGAUUUGGAUUUUGAGAAUUUAAAUAAUCAGAGCAUGGAUACUGAUAAUUUUAAGAGUCCUUUCAUCCAUUCCAAGAAUUUAAACACUGCUGAUCUUAGCAUGAAGCUAAAGGUUUACUUUAUGGGUAUUUAUAUAAAUCAUAAUUCUCAUGCAAUGAAUAAAUACCACCCUAGGAAUGUUCUACUUUGGCAGACCCAGAAGUUAGAUAUAGGCUUUAAGUUAAAAAAAAAUUGUUCUGCCUUUGUUAUGAUGACCAUGUCCUCUUUGUUUCAGCCUAAAUGACAUCAGUUUGUGCUUUGUACCUCUAACAACAUAAAGGUCAUGUUAUUCAACAAAAAUUUAUUCAAUGUCCUGGCAGAUUCAAUUGCUAGACUUCCUGCCUAUCAUAGCUAUUAGUUAUUCCCCUCAAUAUGUAUUCAUUCUGACAAAGGCCAUGUUAAGCAGUCAUACAGUAGGGAAAAAAAAAAAAAAACAACCCAACAUCAGGGUCUGUUAAAUGGAAUCCAAUUUAAGUGUUCUUUUACUAAGAACUACAACAUCACAAUGAGUAGUCCAUAAUUUCAGGAAUGUGUCCUCCAUACAACCAUUCAUAUAUUAUCAAUAGAGAGGAGUUUCUGAUGAGGAAACCUUUCAUAUAGCUCAAAGUUCAGCAUUAUAUAAUUAUAGUAUAGAAGGUUCAUUAUUGCUUGUACAGCGUAGAUGGCAUUUACGCACAGAGGGCAUGCUUAUGCACCAAGUGUUCUUUGUUUCUUCUUCAUUAUCUGUGAACUUUGAGCAGGAAUGAGUUUUAACACACACACACACUAACACACACAUGAUAUAUAAUUAUAAUCUAUAUGCUAGUAUAAUUAAUAUAAUAUAAUAUAAUAUAUUCUCUGCGUGUAUAGCUCAGAAAUAAUUCUUUAUUUUGUCUAAAAUCAAUCUUUUUCUUGCUGUCAGUUUUCAAGUGGAGGAAAUAAACUUAUUUUAUGCUCUUACAGUUCUAGCUUUCCACUCUGUUUUAAUGAUUGCUCUUAUUUUACUUUUCAGGGUUAUCUUUCUUUUCUUUUCUUGUUCUUAUCUUCUUUAUUUGAUCAACAACCUGCUUAGGUUUUUCUAUUUUAUUAGCUUUUGCAAAGAACUGUCUCUGAACUUUGCUGAUCUUGUCUGCAACAUUCUCUCUCAUUUUAUGAAGUUGAUGAAUUAACAUGGUUUCCAUUCACGACUUUCAGAAUUUAAUAUGUAGCUCAUCAAUUUUCACCCUUGCUUCCUUAAACCAUAUGUAUUCAUAAUACAUGGCAAAACUUUCUUUAAAAAAGUACUUUAGCUGAAUCUUAAGACAUUCACUAUGUCGCCUUCUCUAAAAGUUAAAAAUUAUUGGAAUUUUUAUUAUAAACUCUUUCUGCUCUACUGCAUUAUUUAUUCAAUAAUAUGCUUUCUGGCUUCCUUGAAUAUCAAAUUUGGAAAUGGAGAAGUCACUGUAUUGUUAUCAGAGCUACUUUUGAUGCUCUAUAUGGGGCCAGCAUUUAACCAAAUUUUAUGGUUAUUUUAUCAUCAAGUUGAAGAUAGCAAUCCACUGUCUUUUAGUCUAUAUUGGUGCUGACAAGUCUCCUUCCAAUAAAUUUAUAUUUUUUAUUAAGCAUUUUCUUCUUUUGCUAAUUACUUUUGGGGAAAUGAUCUUUUCUUGAGUGUCCUUCAGUUUCAGCAUAAUGAAGCUUGGUACAACUUUAUUUUCAUUGUUUCUACAUAUACUUUAGAUAUUAAAAUGCCUAUUAUUCCUUAGUAUUUUUGUCUAUUAUUUCUUAGAAUUUUUAUUUUUCUUCCCUCUUCCAUUUCUUUGGAGAGGGGUUGCUAAAACCCCUAUUAGAUUAGUUUGGGAUUCUUUAGUUUGCAUUUGUCAAGAUUCUCCAUUAAAAAGGUGAAGGAGAUGAAGACAGAAUAUGUAUAUACACAAUCACACAGACACACACAUGCACACAGACAAAACACACAAAGACACAUACAUGUGCACAAACAUAGGGGUAGGGCAUGUCAGGUUGGUGCUUAGAGGCUUCCCCACACUCAUGAAGAUCCUGGCAAAUAUGAAGUUAACAGAGCAGACCACUAACGAGAAUUUCUAACAGCUACUGGUCUUACAGCUAUAAAUCCAGAAGGAAACUGGAGAAAAAAAAGAAAAUUCCUCCAAUUUUGGGUUAGUUAACACCUUCUAUUUUCUUAAGGCCUAAAUUACUCAGAGGACCCCCAAACACACCACUGAAGGCAAUUUGUCUUAGUAAAAUAUAGGGAUCUCCGUAUUAGUUUUAUCUGAAAACACAAUUUGGCAGAAUACGUAUAGUUACUUAAUAAAGAAGUUGGGUGUGAUAGCUUAGCCAAUAUAAUACUGUAAAAACCAACAAUCAAUCCCUUAUGGAGUCCCCAUAAAUCAGCAGCCAUAGGUUUUCUGUUUUAUAACAUAUAUUAGAAUACCUUGAACUAGUAAUCAAUAUUUAACAUUCAAUA